RNAcentral lists this ribosomal RNA (125 nucleotides) under Escherichia coli. RNAcentral's name for it is "partial 16S ribosomal RNA". It matches the Rfam family "Bacterial small subunit ribosomal RNA", at positions 1421 to 1533 of the family's 1533-position model. Lineage: Bacteria; Pseudomonadati; Pseudomonadota; Gammaproteobacteria; Enterobacterales; Enterobacteriaceae. The record is from RNAcentral.
AAGAAGUAGGUAGCUUAACAUUCGGGAGGGCGCUUACCACUUUGUGAUUCAUGACUGGGGUGAAGUCGUAACAAGGUAACCGUAGGGGAACCUGCGGUUGGAUCACCUCCUUACCUUAAAGAAGC